AGUUCGGAUCGCAGGCUGCAACUCGCCUGCGUGAAGUUGGAAUUGCUAGUAAUCGCGCAUCAGCCACGGCGCGGUGAAUACGUUCCCGGGCCUUGUACACACCGCCCGUCAAGCCAUGGAAGCCGGGAGUGCCUGAAGUGCGUGAGCGCAAGCAGCGCCCUAAGGUAAAACCGGUGACUGGGGCUAAGUCGUAACAAGGUAUC
This 203-nucleotide ribosomal RNA is filed under the name uncultured bacterium. Its description in RNAcentral is "partial 16S ribosomal RNA". It matches the Rfam family "Bacterial small subunit ribosomal RNA", at positions 1290 to 1500 of the family's 1533-position model. The record is from RNAcentral.